UACGUAGGUGGCAAGCGUUGUCCGGAAUUACUGGGCGUAAAGGGCGUGUAGGCGGUCUGAUAAGUCAGACGUGAAAUCUCCAGGCUUAACCUGGAAACUGCGUUUGAAACUGUCGGACUUGAGGACCGGAGAGGGCAGUGGAAUUCCCAGUGUAGCGGUGAAAUGCGUAGAUAUUGGGAGGAACACCAGUGGCGAAGGCGACUGCCUGGACGGCACCUGACGCUGAGGCGCGAAAGCUAGGGGAGCAAACGGG
RNAcentral lists this ribosomal RNA (253 nucleotides) under Hydrogenispora sp. Its description in RNAcentral is "partial 16S ribosomal RNA". It matches the Rfam family "Bacterial small subunit ribosomal RNA", at positions 524 to 776 of the family's 1533-position model. Lineage: Bacteria; Bacillati; Bacillota. The record is from RNAcentral.